Molecule: long non-coding RNA, 819 nt
Organism: Mauremys reevesii (Reeves's turtle)
Lineage: Eukaryota; Metazoa; Chordata; Testudines; Geoemydidae
Exons: 4
Source: RefSeq, a predicted model, not a curated record
UGUUAUGGAGUCAUUAGACUACCCACUUACUACAUCCAGAAAUAGUGAGAUGGCUGAGGACCCCAUACCAACCACUACAGCAGCCUUGGAAGUUAAACCUGCAGAGAUGGUGGCAUUAUUAGGAAAGCCCUUCUGCACCAGCUACUGAUCAAGGACCACAGGCAAUCAGUGCUGGCAGCAUGAGGUCCCUUGAUACUAUUGCUGAGAGCAGCUAUUUGUGGAGAACCAUCAUUACAGUCAUUCCUCAGAGUUUUUGAAGACAAACAUUCCUGAACCAUCAAUGCAUGUGCAGUCAGCACACACACACACACACACACACACAAAAUAGUGCACCAGAGAAGUAAAGUGUCUCUGUCUUUGUGCUGGCAGUGGGUUGAACACACAAAACGGCUGACUGCAGUACUGUGAAGUUCUGGGGUACAUGCAGGAAUGUCAAAUUCUGGGGUAACGCUGCCAACUUGAAGACCUCUAACCUAAGUAAGAUCCCAUGGGAAGCAAGUCUACCAGAAUUUGUUAAAGUCUGCCUUCUUGAAAUCCAUUUUCUUUAUUCUGCUGUUUGCCCUGCGACCAAAUGGUUUCCAAAUGUUUACUCAACAGCAGUGUACGACAUAGAAGUAAACAUGAAUGAACAAAAAAGCCUUUUCAUCUUGGAAAAACAACUAAAAUUAGAGGUAAAACAAUGAACAAAUCCACUCAGCUCAAGCUGAACCUCAGAAAAAAAUAUUUUAGAUUGAGUUUUGGGAACAUAAACCAUUGGUGUAUUCUGAUGAGAAAUGUAAAUGACUUUAAAGGCAUUUUUUUACAAUGCAUUAACAUCUG